UAAAGGGGUGGGAUGGCAACUUCAAGAAAGGGGCAUAAAGUAUAGCUUGCUUGAGAUACAGGAUUUGUGCAAGAAACACUAACAGAUGAGAAACAAUGCACACAUAGAUGUUGGACCUCCCCCUCCCAGUCUUCAGGCUUGCCUCGCUUCCCACCGGAUCCAUUGCAAGACGGAUAAAGAGGUGACACUCAGACCAGGACCUUUAAGACUCACGAAAGGCACCACGCAAAGGAGACAGCGGAACGCCCAGGCAAAGUCCUUGAGCCUUAUGCAUCCAGAAAGCCUCUGACAAGCUUUUAUUCUGUGCCUGGUGCUGUGCUAGAAGCUGAGGACAGGGAGAGAACCAGACCCUCCAGGAACCCAUGGCCUGAUGUCUGGCUGAAAGUCGAAACAUGCUGCAAUUUCAUUGCCUUUCUUUCCGACAAGGAUUUCUGUAUUUUGUCAUUCUCUUCAAGUAAAGUUUGGACUGGCUCCUUUGUCUUUGAAGGCUGAGAGCUCGGUCUCCAAGCUCCUUUGACUGGAAGGCAUAUUAUGAAAUGGGAUGUACCAUCAGCAAGGAGGGCUGCUGUGUUGUGCAUCUCUAGGCGGCACUAUUUAUAUCACCAUCUAUGUAGAUGGUGCCCUUGGAAUUGAGCCUUAUCCAACCUGAACAACCAAAUAUGGAUACAUUGGCCCUGAUUCAACAGUAUUUACUGGAAGCAAGUGAGUAAACCUGGCCCACACUCAGGAAGAAGGAAAGGAUUACACAAGUGCAUGAAUACCAAGAAGAAAAGAUCAGUGACUCCAUCUUACAGGCUGUCUGCCACAAAGAACACUGAGGCUGAGAGCCAUCUACCAAAGGUCACAAACACCAGAGCAAGGGAAAACCAGCACUGGAACCGGGUGAUAUCUGGGAGCUGUGUCUCAAAAAUUUUUGGAGCAGCCCAGCCUCAGGAGAGCAGGUGGGAGCCCACAGCUCUGCACUGCUAGAAGCCACAUGACCAACUGAGAGUGAACCUCAAGACAACCUGGAACACGCUGUGCAUGCAUAUGCUCAAGAUCUUGACUAAGGAGGAGGGCUUUGGGCAGGGGAUGCCGCAUGAAGAAAUCCUAUACAGGGUACCUUUUUCUCUCAAUCUCUUGCUCUUUCCCACAAAAGAAAGAAAAUUAUACACAUUGUAUAUCUAGAACUAAGAAGGUAUUCAACACUUAACAUAUGUUAAAAAUACUAAGCAACUGCAUAUAAUCUCUGAAUAGUCAAACUGAUCAUCAUGUCAGACCUACAUAAUAUGUGAAAGCUUAGUUCUGUAGCCUAAUGGCCCGAAGCUCCCUCACAGUCCAGCUUUCUCACUCAACUUCACAGUGCCUGAGUUUCCUUAACUGUAAGAUGGGAAUAAAUAAUAGUACUUUUCCCACAGAGUGUCUGAUGGAGUGAAUGCUUUCUCUCUGGUGCCCGACACUUAGUAAGCAAUCAUAAAAGUUAGCUCCUCUUAAUCAGCCCUAAAGAAGAUUGUGAGGCACUGUGCUGAAUAAACACAUGUAAAACUGUCCCUGUUUUGUCUCUGAGGCCCUUCUUGAACUUUGUGACAUUCAACUGUAUGUUAAGCACUGGAUAAUCUUGGCACUCUUCAGUGUUACUAUGAAGCUUAACAUCCUACGUAUAGAACACACAUCACAUCACUUCUUGUUUAAUAAAGCAAAUUGCUCCCCACAUGGGUAGCAGUUCUCAUUUGUCAAUUAAUAUCUAAUUAGCUCUCUAAAUGCAAUGGGCAAAUUGGAUCCUGGAAAAUCAUUCCUUGUGCACUUGGUGAACUGAGAUAAACCAUGGGCCUCUUCUGCAGUUUGCUAGAGAUGUUGCAUAUGGUGACUAAACUGUGUCUAUAAGGUUCCCAGGAUGUUCCAGAAGCAGCUCUUCCUAGCUGCCUGCAGUUGUAGGCAUCUUCCUUCCUUCCACGAUUUUAAAAAGACUGUAGGAAUUGAGUGACCAACUUUCAUGGGGAUUAAUGGAGGCAAAAUGGAGCCAAUGUGAUAGCCAGAAAACCUACAGGUGAUAUUCAGUUCCAUGGAGAGUUUCAAGAUCUUUAUGAGAGGGGGAGGCAUAUCACUCCCUGAUCCCAAGAUAUACCUAUAAAGCUGUGA
This is an RNA transcript of Tupaia belangeri chinensis (Chinese tree shrew), 2118 nucleotides long. RefSeq lists it as uncharacterized. The transcript is spliced from 7 exons. The record is from RefSeq and is a predicted model, not a curated record. NCBI's taxonomy places the organism in Eukaryota, Metazoa, Chordata, Mammalia, Scandentia, Tupaiidae.